This 640-nucleotide ribosomal RNA is filed under the name uncultured Actinomycetes bacterium. Its description in RNAcentral is "bacterial SSU rRNA". It matches the Rfam family "Bacterial small subunit ribosomal RNA", at positions 231 to 885 of the family's 1533-position model. Lineage: Bacteria; Bacillati; Actinomycetota; Actinomycetes. The record is from RNAcentral.
UCGCGGCCUAUCAGCUUGUUGGUGGGGUAACGGCCUACCAAGGCAUCGACGGGUAGCUGGUCUGAGAGGAUGAUCAGCCACACUGGGACUGAGACACGGCCCAGACUCCUACGGGAGGCAGCAGUGGGGAAUCUUGCGCAAUGGGCGAAAGCCUGACGCAGCAACGCCGCGUGCGGGAAGAAGGCUCUCGGGUUGUAAACCGCUUUCAGAAGGAACGAAACUGACGGUACUUUCAGAAGAAGGUGCGGCCAACUACGUGCCAGCAGCCGCGGUGACACGUAGGCACCAAGCGUUGUCCGGAUUUAUUGGGCGUAAAGAGCUCGUAGGCGGUUCAGUAAGUCGGGUGUGAAAACUUUGGGCUUAACCCAAAGCCUGCAUCCGAUACUGCUGUGACUUGAGUACGGUAGGGGAGCGGGGAAUUUCUAGUGUAGCGGUGAAAUGCGCAGAUAUUAGAAGGAACACCGGUGGCGAAGGCGCCGCUCUGGGCCGUAACUGACGCUGGGGAGCGAAAGCGUGGGUAGCAAACAGGAUUAGAUACCCUGGUAGUCCACGCCGUAAACGUUGGGCACUAGGUGUGGGUCUCAACCAACGAGAUCCGCGCCGUCGCUAACGCAUUAAGUGCCCCGCCUGGGGAGUACGG